UUUGUUGGAGGGUAAAAUUUUUCUAAGGCUAAAAAACGGCGAGAGACCGAUAGCGAACAAGUACCGUGAGGGAAAGAUGAAAAGAACUUUGAAAAAAGAGUUAAACCGUACGUGAAAUUGUUGAAAGGGAAACGAUUGAAGCCCGUUGUACCUUGGGGUAAUCACCCUUUCGGGUGCGAUUCUGUGGAGUUUGAGGAGCUUAACACCUUCAUGCUUUGCAUAUUCGUGCUCUUGGGUGUACUUGCCCGUGUGGUUGGUUAAACAUCCCAAUCGGGCACCAUAAAAGAGCGGGAGGAAUGUACCUUUCAUAAA
Molecule: ribosomal RNA, 312 nt
Filed under: uncultured Glomeromycotina
Lineage: Eukaryota; Fungi; Glomeromycota
Description: partial large subunit ribosomal RNA
Rfam family: Eukaryotic large subunit ribosomal RNA
Source: RNAcentral